UACGGAGGGUGCAAGCGUUAUCCGGAUUCACUGGGCUUAAAGGGUGCGUAGGCGGUCAGGUAAGUCAGUGGUGAAAUCUCUGGGCUUAACCCAGAAACUGCCGUUGAUACUAUUUGUCUUGAAUAUCCUGGAGGUAGGCGGAAUAUGUCAUGUAGCGGUGAAAUGCUUAGAUAUGACAUAGAACACCGAUAGCGAAGGCAGCUUACUGGAGGAUGAUUGACGCUGAGGCACGAAAGCGUGGGGAGCAAACAGG
This 253-nucleotide ribosomal RNA is filed under the name uncultured bacterium. Its description in RNAcentral is "partial 16S ribosomal RNA". It matches the Rfam family "Bacterial small subunit ribosomal RNA", at positions 524 to 776 of the family's 1533-position model. The record is from RNAcentral.